AUUGAACGCUGGCGGCAGGCCUAACACAUGCAAGUCGAGCGGAUGAAGGGAGCUUGCUCCUGGAUUCAGCGGCGGACGGGUGAGUAAUGCCUAGGAAUCUGCCUGGUAGUGGGGGAUAACGUCCGGAAACGGGCGCUAAUACCGCAUACGUCCUGAGGGAGAAAGUGGGGGAUCUUCGGACCUCACGCUAUCAGAUGAGCCUAGGUCGGAAUAGCUAGUUGGUGGGGUAAAGGCCUACCAAGGCGACGAUCCGUAACUGGUCUGAGAGGAUGAUCAGUCACACUGGAACUGAGACACGGUCCAGACUCCUACGGGAGGCAGCAGUGGGGAAUAUUGGACAAUGGGCGAAAGCCUGAUCCAGCCAUGCCGCGUGUGUGAAGAAGGUCUUCGGAUUGUGAAGCACUUUAAGUUGGGAGGAAGGGCAGUAAGUUAAUACCUUGCUGUUUUGACGUUACCAACAGAAUAAGCACCGGCUAACUUCGUG
This 484-nucleotide ribosomal RNA is filed under the name uncultured bacterium. RNAcentral's name for it is "partial 16S ribosomal RNA". It matches the Rfam family "Bacterial small subunit ribosomal RNA", at positions 30 to 507 of the family's 1533-position model. The record is from RNAcentral.